Molecule: transfer RNA, 136 nt
Filed under: Penicillium salamii
Lineage: Eukaryota; Fungi; Ascomycota; Eurotiomycetes; Eurotiales; Aspergillaceae
Description: tRNA-His
Rfam family: tRNA
About the family: Transfer RNA (tRNA) molecules are approximately 80 nucleotides in length.
Source: RNAcentral
GGCGGUUUGGCCGAGUGGUCUAAGGCGAUUGAGUAUGUUUCACCAUUAGACAUAGUAAACCAGAAUUUCACUAACCAUUGCAACAGCUCGAAAUCAAUUCUCUUCGGAGGCGCAUGUUCGAAUCAUGCAGCCGUCG